RNAcentral lists this ribosomal RNA (253 nucleotides) under uncultured bacterium. RNAcentral's name for it is "partial 16S ribosomal RNA". It matches the Rfam family "Bacterial small subunit ribosomal RNA", at positions 524 to 776 of the family's 1533-position model. The record is from RNAcentral.
UACGUAGGGUGCGAGCGUUGUCCGGAAUUAUUGGGCGUAAAGGGCUCGUAGGCGGCUUGUUGCGUCGACUGUGAAAACCCGCGGCUUAACCCCGGGUCUGCAGUCGAUACGGGCAGGCUAGAGUGUGGUAGGGGAGAUCGGAAUUCCUGGUGUAGCGGUGAAAUGCGCAGAUAUCAGGAGGAACACCGGUGGCGAAGGCGGAUCUCUGGGCCAUUACUGACGCUGAGGAGCGAAAGCGUGGGGAGCGAACAGG